AGGGAUAACAAGAAGAACAGGAUAAUACCAAGGCAUGUGUUGUUGGCUGUGAGGAAUGAUGAAGAACUUGGAAAGCUACUUGCAGGUGUGACCAUAGCUCAUGGCGGGGUGUUGCCUAACAUCAAUCCUGUUCUUUUGCCUAAGAAAACCGAAAAGGCAGCCAAAGAACCCAAGUCACCUUCCAAGGCCACCAAGUCCCCGAAGAAGGCUUAGCCACUCUACCCACCACUAGUGAUAGAGUAUUUAGUUUUAGCAGUCCUUCUUUCGAUAUCUGCUUCCUCGUCUAUGUCUGUAAUUUGCUUUUGAUGUGCUUGCCCUGCUUGUAGGU
RNAcentral lists this long non-coding RNA (328 nucleotides) under Populus trichocarpa (black cottonwood). RNAcentral describes it as "long non-coding RNA (PTRI_LNC001707)". Lineage: Eukaryota; Viridiplantae; Streptophyta; Magnoliopsida; Malpighiales; Salicaceae. The record is from RNAcentral.